UGGGGAGUGGCCAAGCGGUAAGGCAGCGGACUCUGGAUCCGCCAAUCGGGGGUUCGAAUCCCUCCUCCCCAG
Molecule: transfer RNA, 72 nt
Filed under: Deltaproteobacteria bacterium
Lineage: Bacteria; Pseudomonadati; Myxococcota; Myxococcia
Also listed under: 1 other name
Description: tRNA-Gln
Rfam family: tRNA
About the family: Transfer RNA (tRNA) molecules are approximately 80 nucleotides in length. Their secondary structure includes four short double-helical elements and three loops (D, anti-codon, and T loops).
Source: RNAcentral